UACGAAGGGGGCUAGCGUUGCUCGGAAUCACUGGGCGUAAAGCGCACGUAGGCGGAUUGCUAAGUCAGGGGUGAAAUCCUGGAGCUCAACUCCAGAACUGCCUUUGAUACUGGCGAUCUUGAGUCCGGGAGAGGUGAGUGGAACUGCGAGUGUAGAGGUGAAAUUCGUAGAUAUUCGCAAGAACACCAGUGGCGAAGGCGGCCUGCUGGGCAGUUUCUGACGCUGAGGCGCGACAGCGUGGGGAGCAAACAGG
This 253-nucleotide ribosomal RNA is filed under the name uncultured bacterium. Its description in RNAcentral is "partial 16S ribosomal RNA". It matches the Rfam family "Bacterial small subunit ribosomal RNA", at positions 524 to 776 of the family's 1533-position model. The record is from RNAcentral.